RNAcentral lists this long non-coding RNA (247 nucleotides) under Lathyrus oleraceus (garden pea). RNAcentral describes it as "Pisum sativum (pea) long non-coding RNA (PSAT_LNC042104)". The record is from RNAcentral. Lineage: Eukaryota; Viridiplantae; Streptophyta; Magnoliopsida; Fabales; Fabaceae.
GUUUGUGUGGUUGAUCAGAGAAGAUGGUGGUUUCCACCACCACCACCACGUGUUCUGAUCCCUGGCCCUUGGAUAUCCCUUCCACGAUCUAAUCUCAUGUGUCCAUUUUAAUUACUUGUUUUAAUUCGUUAUGUGGCGCUGUUAACUUAAGUGUAUCGUGUGUCCUCAGAUCCAAGUCGUGCACCACUGCCACGUCAAUUAAUGAAUUGGAUCUAGUGGCUCAGGCUUUUUUGCUUAUUUUAUUUUU